RNAcentral lists this ribosomal RNA (464 nucleotides) under uncultured bacterium. Its description in RNAcentral is "partial 16S ribosomal RNA". It matches the Rfam family "Bacterial small subunit ribosomal RNA", at positions 29 to 507 of the family's 1533-position model. The record is from RNAcentral.
ACGAACGCUGGCGGCGUGCUUAACACAUGCAAGUCGUACGGUAAGGCCCUUUCGGGGGUACACGAGUGGCGAACGGGUGAGUAACACGUGAGUAACCUGCCCACAACUUUGGGAUAACGCUAGGAAACUGGUGCUAAUACUGGAUAUGUGCUCCUGCUGCAUGGUGGGGGUUGGAAAGCUCCGGCGGUUGUGGAUGGACUCGCGGCCUAUCAGCUUGUUGGUGGGGUAGUGGCCUACCAAGGCGGCGACGGGUAGCCGGCCUGGGAGGGUGACCGGCCACAUUGGGACUGAGAUACGGCCCAGACUCCUACGGGAGGCAGCAGUGGGGAAUAUUGCACAAUGGGCGCAAGCCUGAUGCAGCAACGCCGCGUGCGGGAUGACGGCCUUCGGGUUGUAAACCGCUUUCAGCAGGGACGAAGCUUUUUGUGACGGUACCUGCAGAAGAAGCACCGGCUAACUACGUG